UCUCUCUCUCUCUCUUUCUCUCUGCGUCUGUGGGUGUGGCUCGAUUGCUCUUGUCGGACGGGUGACCCAGGUGGUCGGAGCAGGUUCUUUUCUCGGCCCGUCGUUCGAUCUUGCCAUUUUUCCGUUCGCCGAUUCGUGGGUAGUUGCGGUUGUCGGGAAAGGAACCCGCUUGGAGCUGUGAACGUUUCUUUGCUCGGUUGCCCGCGCUGUCCGUGAUUCAAAUUGCGUUUACUGUUUUCGUCGUCGCGGUCGUCGUUUCUCGAACGGAGAAAAUGGGUGAAAUUUUGUUAUGCGGCCGGGUGACGGGGCCGAAGCGGGGCAACCUGCUCAGCUUGCAGCGAUUGGGGAAUUUGAAUCUUUGCCUGCAUGAACCGGAAUGUGGGCGUCCGCGUUCGUUGAUGGCUAAUUGUAUCGUUCGCAUUUUGUUGAAUUGUGCGGGCUCAGGGCGCUCCCGAAUUGCCUUUGUAAAAGCAGAGCAUGCCGAGGUUUUAGGCUGAAGAGGAUCGGCGUGGAGGGAGCAGUGAUUGCAUAGCUCUGAUGCUUAUAAUUCAUCAGUUAUAGCUGGAAAACUCGGAGUUUCCUUCGGUGGGGCUUGUGUAUUGUCUAGGACAAAUGGUUACUCUCAAUGGUUUUAUUAGUCAAGCGGGGGAAAACCUCUUGUUUGCAUGAGCGAGCUGCAAUUUUUGUAGUUUCUGAGCAAUCUCUGUCUUAUCCAGGUCUGGCCAUCUAAAAUGCUUUCAAAGUCCCAAAUUGCAAAGCUUUUAUCCCGUUCGAUUUCUCGAAGAAAGACUGAUUUCUAUGUUGCUUCAAGUUGCUACUUGUGCAACUCCUUUUGUACUCUCACUAAGCCGCCUGAGAGAAAUGAGUCGCCGGAGAUCCCAAGUUGGGUGAAGUGCCUUGAUGACAAGAGCCAUGGAAGUCCUGAUGCAGAUGAAAAUUUUGUGAUCCCUUCCCUCGCUUCUUGGGUUAACAGUUAUGGGCCAUAUGGUCGUACUGAAGUUGCCAAGGUUACAUCGAGUGACAUAGAAGAAAUUAAUGUUGAGAAAGUCUGCAAACUUUUGAGGAACCGGUAUUCAUCACCAGAUUGUGUUGUUGCAGCUUUGAAUGCUAGUGGCGUUGGUUCUUCAAGCAGGAUGAUUGAGCGGAUUUUGAAAAAAUUUAGCAAUGAUUGGAUCCCAGCUUUUGGUGUUUUCACUUGGGCCAAACUCCAAAUGGGUCACCAUCAUCCAUCUGUGUUAUGUGAUCUAAUGGUUGACAUAUUAGGGAAAUCGAGAAAGUUCCAUUUGAUGUGGAAGUUGGUGGAGGAAAUAAGGACGUUAGAAGGUUAUGUUACACUGGCAACUAUGAGUAAGGUCAUGAGAAGGCUUGCUAGAGCAGGUAAGUAUCAAGAUGCAAUAGAGGUCUUUAAAGAAAUUGAGCAAUUUGGUGUUAAGAGGGAUGUUGCUGCAAUGAAUGUGCUAAUAGAUGCAUUGGUUAAGGAAAAUAGUGUUGAGCAUGCCCUUGAAGUGUUUUUGCAGUUUAAGGCAUGUAUCCCAUGUGAUAUUCAUACUUACAAUAUUUUGAUACAUGGACACUGUAAAUGUAAACAAUUUGAUAAUGCAAGAAAAUUUUUGGAAGAGAUGGAGCAACAAGGAUUCGAACCUAAUGUCAUUUCUUAUACUUGUUUUGUCGAAUGGUACAGUCGUGAACAGGAUUUUCAUAAUGUAAAUGCCAUUUUGGAUGAAAUGAAGAAAAAGGGUUGUUCGCCAAAUACCGUGACCUAUACUAUUUUAAUGCAAGGUUUGGGGAAAGCAAAGCAAAUAAAUGAUGCACUGGGGGUCUAUGAAAAUAUGAAGACCAUCGGUUGUGCUCCAGAUCCCUCCUUUUAUAGCUCAUUGAUUUAUAUCUUGAGUAAAGCUGGUAGAUUUAAGGAUGCGUGGGAUGUAUAUGAAGACAUGGGGAAACAAGGAGUUAAACCAGACUUGUUGACAUAUAACACAGUAAUUGCUGCUGCUUGUGAGCAUUCACAAGAAGAGACUGCUUUGAAGAUUCUUAAGAAAAUGGAAGAAGAUUCUUGUAAGCCAGAUCUCAAGACAUAUGCAUCUCUAAUAAAGAUGUGCUGCAGAAAGAAGAGAAUGAAGGUUCUUCAAUUUUUGUUGAACCACAUGUUUAAAAAUGAUGUCAGCAUCGAAGUCUCAACCUACUCUCUUUUGGUACGUGGGCUUUGCAAAUCUGGGAAACUUGAGGAGGCUUGUUUGUUCUUUGAAGAAAUGGUGGCGAGAGGAAUAGUACCAUGGGAAACCACAUACAAAUUGCUGGUAAAUAAGCUUGAUGGAAUGAGCAUGGGAAAACAAAAGGAGCACAUUCAGAAGCUAAUGUCAGAGGCAAAAGAGUGGGCAGAGAUUUAACUGUGUUUGAGAGGAAAAAGCUAUUCGGAUUUGUACUUUUUGUUAUUCAAAGGAAUUUGCAGUUUUAAUGUCUCUCAAAUGGUUCCUCUAUUCUAUUAUUGGCUACAGAAGUUGACCUGUGCUGUGAAUAGAGUGGGGGAUUAGCUUGACUAUACUAGGUGUCAAAGGGUAGGUGAACUUUUUAUUUGCUAAUAAAGGCAAUGCUUUUGCCUCCACGUCACUCAUGGUCAGUAUUGUCAAAAGCACCAGCCAAAGCACGGUCGCCUUGCCUGCUGUGAGGCGAAUCACCUUCAUGUAGGCACCGCUUAGGCGAGUGCCUGUACCAAGGCGACACUUUGCUCAAGUAGUUUGCAGCUAAGAUUGAGGCUUGUGUUGGCAGCUGACAGCUAAUUGACUCUCAUGGCUUUUUCUGUUUAGAUAAAAUGAAAAGGAAUAUGCCAUGGGGUGACCAGGUGGAUGUGAUAUCAUCUGACGGAUCUACUUCCUCAGAUGUCGAGAUGGAGGCUACUGAUGCAUCUCGUGGCAAGUUCCCUGCAAUUCCCAUUCCAAUAGAACGUAAUUUUCAAGAUGCAACAU
RNA transcript from Eucalyptus grandis, 2963 nucleotides. It is a transcript of the gene named protein RDM1, with no coding region annotated. The transcript has 2 exons. The record is from RefSeq and is a predicted model, not a curated record. Lineage: Eukaryota; Viridiplantae; Streptophyta; Magnoliopsida; Myrtales; Myrtaceae.